GUCAAGAUGGCCGAGUUG
This 18-nucleotide non-coding RNA is filed under the name Arabidopsis thaliana (thale cress). The record is from RNAcentral. Lineage: Eukaryota; Viridiplantae; Streptophyta; Magnoliopsida; Brassicales; Brassicaceae.